GGUCUAUAUACAAACUCUUAUAUUGUCUUGUAGAAUGUGUUAGCCUCUCGUUAGGCGAAACUUAAAUGCAACUUUCAACGACGGAUCUCUUGGCUCUCGCAUCGAUGAAGAACGCAGCGAAAUGCGAUAAGUAAUGUGAAUUGCAGAAUUCAGUGAAUCAUCGAAUCUUUGAACGCACCUUGCGCUCCUUGGUAUUCCGAGGAGCAUGCCUGUUUGAGUGUCAUGUUAAUAUCAACCCCGUCGGUUUGUAAAUCAGACCGUUGGGUGUUGGACUUGGAGGUUCUUGCUGGCUGCAAAGUCGGCUCCUCUUGAAUGCAUUAGCUUGGGCCUGUUGUGCGUACUCGCGGUGUAAUAAGUUUUAUUCAUCGUUUGGGUCGUACACUUAUUGGGCUUGCUUCUAACUGUCUUCGGACAAGCAUAACCUUUGACUCUGACCUCAAAUCAGGUAGGACUACCCGCUGAACUUAAGCAUAUCAAUAAGCGGAGGAAAAGAAACUAACAAGGAUUCCCCUAGUAACUGCGAGUGAAGCGGGAAAAGCUCAAAUUUAAAAUCUGGCGGUUUCACCGUCCGAGUUGUAAUCUGGAGAAGCGUUUUCCGUGC
RNAcentral lists this ribosomal RNA (601 nucleotides) under uncultured fungus. RNAcentral's name for it is "eukaryotic LSU rRNA". The stretch from base 70 to 223 matches the Rfam family "5.8S ribosomal RNA". The record is from RNAcentral. Lineage: Eukaryota; Fungi.